This 72-nucleotide transfer RNA is filed under the name Marmota monax (woodchuck). RNAcentral describes it as "tRNA.Ala". It matches the Rfam family "tRNA". Rfam says of the family: Transfer RNA (tRNA) molecules are approximately 80 nucleotides in length. The record is from RNAcentral. Lineage: Eukaryota; Metazoa; Chordata; Mammalia; Rodentia; Sciuridae.
GGAGAUGUAGCUCAGUGGUGGAGCACUUGUCUAGCAUAUAUGAGGCACUGGGUUUGAUUCUCAGCACCCAUA